ACAUCCAAUGGCCAAAACUAUGCAAAACACCAACCACUCCAUUUCAAAAUGAAUUUUGUACGUACUUGAAUUGUCGGAUUUCAUGGACCAAUCGAUAUCGGAUUGAGUUCAAAACUUGGGGAACAUCAGAAUAUUGUGGGAGGAGUCAUUUGGUGAGUUUUGAGUGAAAUCCAAUGGCUAAAACUAUGCAAUACACCAACC
This 201-nucleotide long non-coding RNA is filed under the name Prunus persica (peach). Its description in RNAcentral is "long non-coding RNA (PPER_LNC005230)". Lineage: Eukaryota; Viridiplantae; Streptophyta; Magnoliopsida; Rosales; Rosaceae. The record is from RNAcentral.